CCCUACCUCCCAGGUUCAAAGGCUCAGUCCAAGGGUUCGGCUAAUCAGUAGAUUCUAGAGAGAAGUGAUCCGUUCAGUGGUGAGUCUUCUUUGUUCCAGAAGGCCUGUUAUUUUAGAUUAUGUUAUUUCCAUUGAUUUGGUCUACUGGUGGCCUUGUCCUAGUUUUCAGAAUAGUUUUGUGAUGUAGUAGAGAUUUUGCAGACUGGGUCGGAUCUUAUUCAGAUGUUUUGAAUUG
Molecule: long non-coding RNA, 235 nt
Filed under: Capsicum annuum
Lineage: Eukaryota; Viridiplantae; Streptophyta; Magnoliopsida; Solanales; Solanaceae
Description: long non-coding RNA (CANN_LNC009123)
Source: RNAcentral